Molecule: transfer RNA, 76 nt
Filed under: Compsopogon caeruleus
Lineage: Eukaryota; Rhodophyta; Compsopogonophyceae; Compsopogonales; Compsopogonaceae
Description: tRNA-Gly
Rfam family: tRNA
About the family: Transfer RNA (tRNA) molecules are approximately 80 nucleotides in length. Their secondary structure includes four short double-helical elements and three loops (D, anti-codon, and T loops). Further hydrogen bonds mediate the characteristic L-shaped molecular structure. tRNAs have two regions of fundamental functional importance: the anti-codon, which is responsible for specific mRNA codon recognition, and the 3' end, to which the tRNAs corresponding amino acid is attached (by aminoacyl-tRNA synthetases). tRNAs cope with the degeneracy of the genetic code in two manners: having more than one tRNA (with a specific anti-codon) for a particular amino acid; and 'wobble' base-pairing, i.e. permitting non-standard base-pairing at the 3rd anti-codon position.
Source: RNAcentral
AGCGGGUAUGGAUGCAAUUGGUACAUCAUUAAUCUUCCAAAUUAAAAGUGUGGGUUCGAAUCCCAUUACUCGCUAC